AAUCCGCUUAUCGUGAAGGCUGAGCUGUGAUGGGAAGCUCCUUAUGGAGCGAAGUCUUUGAUUCCCGCUGCCAAGAAAGCUUCUAGCGAGAUAAAGGUGCCUGUACCGCAAACCGACACAGGUAGGCGAGGAGAGAAUCCUAAGGUGUGCGAGAGAACUCUGGUUAAGGAACUCGGCAAAAUGACCCCGUAACUUCGGGAGAAGGGUGCUUUCUUAACGGAAAGCCGCAGUGAAUAGGCCCAAGCGACUGUUUAGCAAAAACACAGCUCUCUGCGAAGCCGUAAGGCGAAGUAUAGGGGGUGACACCUGCCCGGUGAUGGAAGGUUAAGGAGAGGGGUUAGCGUAAGCGAAGCUCUGAACUGAAGCCCCAGUAAACGGCGGCCGUAACUAUAACGGUCCUAAGGUAGCGAAAUUCCUUGUCGGGUAAGUUCCGACCCGCACGAAAGGUGUAACGAUUUGGGCACUGUCUCAACCAGAGACUCGGUGAAAAUUAUAGUACCUGUGAAGAUGCAGGUUACCCGCGACAGGACGGAAAGACCCCGUGGAGCUUUACUGUAGCCUGAUAUUGAAUUUUGGUACAGUUUGUACAGGAUAGGCGGGAGCCUUUGAAACCGGAGCGCUAGCUUCGGUGGAGGCGCUGGUGGGAUACCGCCCUGACUGUAUUGAAAUUCUAACCUACGGGUCUUAUCGACCCGGGAGACAGUGUCAGGUGGGCAGUUUUGACUGGGGCGGUCGCCUCCUAAAGUGUAACGGAGGCGCCCAAAGGUUCCCUCAGAAUGGUUGGAAAUCAUUCGUAGAGUGCAAAGGCAUAAGGGAGCUUGACUGCGAGAACUACAAGUCGAGCAGGGACGAAAGUCGGGCUUAGUGAUCCGGUGGUUCCGCAUGGAAGGGCCAUCGCUCAACGGAUAAAAGCUACCCCGGGGAUAACAGGCUUAUCUCCCCCAAGAGUCCACAUCGACGGGAGGUUUGGCACCUCGAUGUCGGCUCAUCGCAUCCUGGGGCUGUAGUCGGUCCCAAGGGUUGGGCUGUUCGCCCAUUAAAGCGGUACGCGAGCUGGGUUCAGAAC
RNAcentral lists this ribosomal RNA (1066 nucleotides) under Bacillus anthracis (anthrax bacterium). RNAcentral describes it as "bacterial LSU rRNA". It matches the Rfam family "Bacterial large subunit ribosomal RNA", at positions 1539 to 2617 of the family's 2925-position model. Lineage: Bacteria; Bacillati; Bacillota; Bacilli; Caryophanales; Bacillaceae. The record is from RNAcentral.